GGGUGCGAUCAUACCAGCACUAAUGCACCGGAUCCCAUCAGAACUCUGCAGUUAAGCGUGCUUGGGCAAGAGUAGUACUGGGAUGGGUGACCUCCUGGGAUGUCCUCGUGUUGCACCAC
RNAcentral lists this ribosomal RNA (119 nucleotides) under Gossypium hirsutum (cotton). The record is from RNAcentral. Lineage: Eukaryota; Viridiplantae; Streptophyta; Magnoliopsida; Malvales; Malvaceae.